UAAGCCCCGGGCGAUGUGUGGUGGGAAUUCUAGUGAUGAGAUGGUGGGGAAGUAACAUGUGGCAACACAUGUUGAUAUUUAGAAGAUGGGUGUUGAGCUUCUGCCCUGGCAUAGUUACUUUUGAGAUUCAGCCGCAUCGUUGAGCCGAACCCUAGUGGCAAUGUCGAAGGAAUUGCUCUUGGAUUUGCUGGGUACAGAGGAACUUGGGCUCAUUGAUUGUGUGUACAUCCUAAAAUAACUACAUUCCUCAGACGAUGCCCCCGAGAUCACUCUCCGACAUCCAUUUUUCCCCAUGCGUUUUUACUUUGCUAGACGUUCUCUAGGAGACUGUACCAUGCUGUUAUCGGCAACGCCUUCAUGAGAAUUACUUUGAGAACCAGCCUCUCAUCUAAGAGCUGCGCCGCAUUGCUCAACCUAAACAUCAUUUCUCAAAGCGAGAAGUCAUGCUGUCCAGGGCAAAAGAAGCCGAGAUUCUAAGCAGCGAGGGAAAUGGCGUGGGCCGAGUAAGUAGGACCGGUGAACGAUGCAGAAGGCAUAUUCUAUCGACGCACUGAAUUGACGAGGCAGCAGAACAGUAAUUUGCGGGGAGAAAGAGAUAGCAUCCCAUCGUUACGGUAAAUUGUCCAUGGUCUUCAACAAGAGAAAAUGUCGGGCCAAAUUUAGAAAAUUCGGUGCAGGUGGGCAAUGGA
This 689-nucleotide long non-coding RNA is filed under the name Physcomitrium patens. RNAcentral's name for it is "long non-coding RNA (PPAT_LNC008686)". Lineage: Eukaryota; Viridiplantae; Streptophyta; Bryopsida; Funariales; Funariaceae. The record is from RNAcentral.